GAUGAAGAACGUAGCGAAAUGCGAUACGUAAUGUGAAUUGCAGAAUUCAGUGAAUCAUCGAAUCUUUGAACGCACAUUGCGCUCUCUGGUAUUCCGGAGAGCAUGCUUGUUUGAGUAUCAGUAAACACCUCAACUCCUUUAUUGUAGUUGGACUUGAGCUAUCCCAACAGGACUUUUUGUUCCUGGCGGGAGGCUUGAAAUGCAGGUGCAGCUGGACUUUCUUCUGAGCUAUAAGCAUAUUUAUUUAAUCCCUUAACACGGAUUAUUACUUUUUUGCUGCAGCUAACAUAAAGGUUGAAUUUCCAUUGAGCUGACUGAUGCAGGAAUUUGGCAAGGAAUUCUUUUAAUGACUUGUUAAACUCGAUCUCAAAUCAAGUAAGACUACCCGCUGAACUUAAGCAUAUCAAUAAGCGGAGGA
This 418-nucleotide unclassified non-coding RNA is filed under the name soil metagenome. RNAcentral's name for it is "partial contains 5.8S ribosomal RNA, internal transcribed spacer 2, and large subunit ribosomal RNA". The stretch from base 1 to 120 matches the Rfam family "5.8S ribosomal RNA", at positions 35 to 154 of the family's 154-position model. The record is from RNAcentral.